AUCAAAGGAAUAAGGC
RNAcentral lists this ribosomal RNA (16 nucleotides) under Aster yellows phytoplasma. RNAcentral's name for it is "partial 23S ribosomal RNA". The record is from RNAcentral. Lineage: Bacteria; Bacillati; Mycoplasmatota; Mollicutes; Acholeplasmatales; Acholeplasmataceae.